GAUGAACGCUGGCGGCGUGCCUAAUACAUCCAAGUCGAGCGAACAGACGAGGAGCUUGCUCCUCUGACGUUAGCGGCGGACGGGUGAGUAACACGUGGAUAACCUACCUAUAAGACUGGGAUAACUUCGGGAAACCGGAGCUAAUACCGGAUAAUAUAUUGAACCGCAUGGUUCAAUAGUGAAAGACGGUUUUGCUGUCACUUAUAGAUGGAUCCGCGCCGCAUUAGCUAGUUGGUAAGGUAACGGCUUACCAAGGCGACGAUGCGUAGCCGACCUGAGAGGGUGAUCGGCCACACUGGAACUGAGACACGGUCCAGACUCCUACGGGAGGCAGCAGUAGGGAAUCUUCCGCAAUGGGCGAAAGCCUGACGGAGCAACGCCGCGUGAGUGAUGAAGGUCUUCGGAUCGUAAAACUCUGUUAUUAGGGAAGAACAAAUGUGUAAGUAACUAUGCACGUCUUGACGGUACCUAAUCAGAAAGCCACGGCUAACUACGUG
RNAcentral lists this ribosomal RNA (497 nucleotides) under uncultured bacterium. RNAcentral describes it as "partial 16S ribosomal RNA". It matches the Rfam family "Bacterial small subunit ribosomal RNA", at positions 28 to 507 of the family's 1533-position model. The record is from RNAcentral.